AACGAACGCUGGCGGCAUGCCUAACACAUGCAAGUCGAACGAGACCUUCGGGUCUAGUGGCGCACGGGUGCGUAACGCGUGGGAAUCUGCCCUUGGGUUCGGAAUAACAGUUGGAAACGACUGCUAAUACCGGAUGAUGACGUAAGUCCAAAGAUUUAUCGCCCAAGGAUGAGCCCGCGUAGGAUUAGCUAGUUGGUGAGGUAAAGGCUCACCAAGGCGACGAUCCUUAGCUGGUCUGAGAGGAUGAUCAGCCACACUGGGACUGAGACACGGCCCAGACUCCUACGGGAGGCAGCAGUGGGGAAUAUUGGACAAUGGGCGAAAGCCUGAUCCAGCAAUGCCGCAUGAGUGAUGAAGGCCUUAGGGUUGUAAAGCUCUUUUACCCGGGAUGAUAAUGACAGUACCGGGAGAAUAAGCUCCGGCUAACUCCGUGCCAGCAGCCGCGGUAAU
This 450-nucleotide ribosomal RNA is filed under the name uncultured bacterium. RNAcentral's name for it is "bacterial SSU rRNA". It matches the Rfam family "Bacterial small subunit ribosomal RNA", at positions 29 to 524 of the family's 1533-position model. The record is from RNAcentral.